GAUUUCCCUCCUCACCCUGAAUGAUGUGAGGAACACUGGUAGGAUCAGUGGGAGGGCUAGAGGGGGUAGGAAUUGUUUCAGCCAAGUCUUAGCAAUCAUGGUUAGGGAUAGGACGCAGCCACGUGGAAGACUGGUCAGCUGCCUGGAAUGGUUAUCUUUGUACUGUGCUUGAAGAGAUCUACUGAUCAUGAGUUGCACCUCAAAAUCACUAAAUGGUGGAGUUGUUUCCCAGCCACAAGCUUGUAUGCUCUAAGAGCAUUUAAUCUGAGAUCUCCUAGCCCUGCUAUUUCCCUUUCCCUCCUGCCCCCCCUUCCCCCUCCAUCCAAAAAAAAGCACCACAUGUGCAGUUUUAAGGAAUUGUUCUGCUGAGAUUAAGACUGGAUUUUCAGUUGCCAGUGUCUUGCUUCUGAGCCUGGAAUAUACUUGCCAGCCCCAUUCGUCACCACUCUUACAAUGCAGGAAGGAAUAGCCACUCUGCAUCCAUUCUCAUUCAGUCUGUUUUUUAGUUAACUGUUACCAUCCCUGCAAGGUUUUUCUUGUUAGGAGGAUGUCUCUAAAAUGAAGCACAGAGCCUUCAGUAGGUAUAUGAGAAGGCUACAAGAACUAACAAAGGCAGAGUUGAGUCCCAUGGUGCUGGAACUUGGUGUUGCUGGUGGUGGCACUCUUUUUGCCUUCUAAUUAGCUGCUCAUUUGCUUCUGUGAGAAAGAGUGAAAAUUGUUGUGUUUGUAAUCUUAGAAACAAAAGCAAGAUUUAUAAUUUUUUCCUGUUCUUUCCUCCCAAAACAUUCCUACUCCUUGCAUGUUCUUUGACUUUACAAAAAUAAACUCAUGGGGAUUUCUAAAUUGAACUUUGCCCUGUCCUUUGGCCAGUUGGAGAGCUUAGAGAAAUUGAGUUGGCCAUUGCCCAGUGGUAGGGCUGAUUGUAGUGAAGGUGGCUGUGUGCUCUGAAAACUGUAUGGAAAGCCUGGGUUUUCCUUUUUGCGUGUGUGCUUCCCCUAAGAACUGAAAAGAAACUUGCAGUGUCACACACCAAUGAUGUGUGUGACGAGGUCUGCAUGCCUUGCUUCUGAGUGACCUGCUUUCCAGUGCCUUCCUGCUGAAGGACACAUGCUGGAGCUGAACCCGGAGCAGUAGUUCAUGCACUAGAUCCUGAUAUAGACGCCAGAUUGGGAAUGUAACAGGGCUGGGUCUUCUCUUCCAGUCCCGCUAGACACCAU
This is a long non-coding RNA of Dromaius novaehollandiae (emu), 1217 nucleotides long. RefSeq lists it as uncharacterized. The transcript is spliced from 2 exons. Lineage: Eukaryota; Metazoa; Chordata; Aves; Casuariiformes; Dromaiidae. The record is from RefSeq and is a predicted model, not a curated record.